UUGUCAACAGGAAGAAGGAUGGUUUGAGCAUACCUAAUACACAUUCCCCUUCCCAAUCUUGUGGUAACUCUGAAUAUGCUUUCUUCCCACAGAUCCAAUAUAAAUUCGCUGGGGCUUUCCAAUUGGAUGUAGCAGAUAAGUCAAACCAUACCUCUUUUAAAUGGGUGUAAUUGGCAAACGGAUUAGUAGGCUCUGAGACAUUUGAAGCUGACCACCAAGUAGUAUCUUUAGUAUCGGCAUUAUAGGCUUUCUGUCCUAGACAUAUUAACUCGCCAACAGGUGUGGUAUACAAUGGCCCUUUCCUGGCUAAACAUACAUGACCUAUAAUGGAGGUUUUUAACCGCCACUCUGAUUUACCUCUAGUACUUGAUGAUCAGACUGAGAAAGUAUUUGUUGUUCAUCUGUCUCAGAACCAGGGUACCAUACUUCCUUUGCCUCCCGGUGACUACUGGUCUCCCAUAUUAGUACCUCCACAUACAAAGCAAAGCAAUUAGUUACAUUAAGACUACCCACAAUACUCUCAGCCAAAUCAAUAAAUAGGUUCUUGACAUUAUGGGGAAUUUUAUCUUCAACACUCAUCUCCUCAUGGAAGGAAUGAAAAACCUGAUGAGUUUCAGUUGCUAUCGUCUCAGUUUCAAGUCCUACAUAUAUUUUGGUCCUU
Pelobates cultripes (western spadefoot toad) is the source of this 661-nucleotide non-coding RNA. The record is from the annotation of a GenBank genome assembly. NCBI's taxonomy places the organism in Eukaryota, Metazoa, Chordata, Amphibia, Anura, Pelobatidae.